This 406-nucleotide ribosomal RNA is filed under the name uncultured bacterium. RNAcentral's name for it is "partial 16S ribosomal RNA". It matches the Rfam family "Bacterial small subunit ribosomal RNA", at positions 30 to 526 of the family's 1533-position model. The record is from RNAcentral.
AUUGAACGCUGGCGGCAGGCUUAACACAUGCAAGUCGAACGAGUGGCGGACGGGUGAGUAAUGUAUGGGAAUCUGGCUUAUGGAGGGGGAUAACUACUGGAAACGGUAGCUAAUACCGCGUACCAUCAGAUGAGCCCAAGUGGGAUUAGGUAGUUGGUGAGGUAAAGGCUCACCAAGCCGACGAUCCCUAGCUGGUCUGAGAGGAUGACCAGCCACACUGGGACUGAGACACGGCCCAGACUCCUACGGGAGGCAGCAGUGGGGAAUAUUGCGCAAUGGGGGCAAGCCUGAUACAGCCAUGCCGCGUGUAUGAAGAAGGCCUUCGGGUUGUAAAGUUCUUUCGGUAGCGAGGCGUUACCUACAGAAGAAGCACCGGCUAACUCCGUGCCAGCCGCCGCGGUAAUUC